GGACCUUUAGCUCAGUUGGUUAGAGCAGACGGCUCAUAACCGUCCGGUCGUAGGUUGGAGUCCUACAAGGGCCA
Molecule: transfer RNA, 74 nt
Filed under: Bacillus cereus
Lineage: Bacteria; Bacillati; Bacillota; Bacilli; Caryophanales; Bacillaceae
Description: tRNA-Met
Rfam family: tRNA
About the family: Transfer RNA (tRNA) molecules are approximately 80 nucleotides in length.
Source: RNAcentral